UACGUAGGGGGCUAGCGUUGUCCGGAAUCAUUGGGCGUAAAGAGCGCGUAGGCGGCCAGAUAAGUCCGGUGUGAAAGUCACAGGCUCAACCUGUGAAUGCCGCUGGAAACUGUAUGGCUAGAGUCCGGAAGGGGCGAGUGGAAUUCCUGGUGUAGCGGUGAAAUGCGCAGAUAUCAGGAGGAACACCGAUGGCGAAGGCAGGUCUCUGGGCCACUACUGACGCUGAGAAGCGAAAGCAUGGGGAGCGAACAGG
RNAcentral lists this ribosomal RNA (253 nucleotides) under uncultured bacterium. RNAcentral describes it as "partial 16S ribosomal RNA". It matches the Rfam family "Bacterial small subunit ribosomal RNA", at positions 524 to 776 of the family's 1533-position model. The record is from RNAcentral.